This 253-nucleotide ribosomal RNA is filed under the name uncultured bacterium. Its description in RNAcentral is "partial 16S ribosomal RNA". It matches the Rfam family "Bacterial small subunit ribosomal RNA", at positions 524 to 776 of the family's 1533-position model. The record is from RNAcentral.
UACGUAGGGUGCAAGCGUUGUCCGGAAUUAUUGGGCGUAAAGAGCUCGUAGGCGGUUUGUCGCGUCUGCUGUGAAAACUCGGGGCUUAACCCCGGGCCUGCAGUGGGUACGGGCAGACUAGAGUGCGGUAGGGGAGACUGGAAUUCCUGGUGUAGCGGUGAAAUGCGUAGAUAUCUGGAGGAACACCGGUGGCGAAGGCGGCAUCCUGGACCAAUAUUGACGCUGAGGAGCGAAAGCCAGGGGAGCAAACGGG